AAAAUUUUAAAAGUCGAACAGACUUAAUUUAAAAGCUUCUACACCUUUAAUUUAUUUUAAUCCAACAUCGAGGUCGCAAUCAUUUUUUUUAAUAUGAACUCUAAAAAAAUAUUACG
Molecule: ribosomal RNA, 116 nt
Filed under: Staphylinidae sp. CH-2014
Lineage: Eukaryota; Metazoa; Arthropoda; Insecta; Coleoptera; Staphylinidae
Description: partial 16S ribosomal RNA
Source: RNAcentral